Molecule: long non-coding RNA, 386 nt
Organism: Eptesicus fuscus (big brown bat)
Lineage: Eukaryota; Metazoa; Chordata; Mammalia; Chiroptera; Vespertilionidae
Exons: 3
Source: RefSeq, a predicted model, not a curated record
GACGCUUGUGUCGUCACCCCAGCGAUGACGCAAGUGUUUUGCGCCCGGCUGCCGAUGGGCCUCUGGGCCACGGAGAGCCUCUGGGAAGUGGGCACGGAGCAGCCAGGCCCUGCAGAGAGCUACUGGCGCAAGGGUUUGUGCGCAGGGCUACUACUAAAAGUAUGAUAUUUAAGACACGAAGUAGAUGGAGUCCCAGUGUUCUGUGUGAAGCCCUCCCUGACAGCCACCGCCCCGAGACAGAGGCACCCCUGCUGUGCUCUCCAGCCCCUCUGCCGACUUCUCAAACGGAACACGUAUUUAUGUACCAUAUUUGAAACUGAUAAUUUAUGAAUUGGAACUGGUGCUGGCUCUGUCAACUUUGACAAGGCGUGAGUUAUAUCAGCAAU